AUUGAACGCUGGCGGCAGGCCUAACACAUGCAAGUCGAGCGAGCGGCGGACGGGUGAGUAAUGUCUGGGAAACUGCCUGAUGGAGGGGGAUAACUCCUGGAAACGGUAGCUAAUACCGCAUACCAUCAGAUGUGCCCAGGUGGGAUUAGCUAGUGGGUGGGGUAACGGCUCACCUAGGCGACGAUCCCUAGCUGGUCUGAGAGGAUGACCAGCCACACUGGAACUGAGACACGGCCCAGACUCCUACGGGAGGCAGCAGUGGGGAAUAUUGGACAAUGGGCGAAAGCCUGAUGGAGCCAUGCCGCGUGUGUGAAGAAGGCCUUCGGGUGGUAAAGCACUGUCAGCGGGGAGGCGUUACCCGAAGAAGAAGCAACGGCUAACUACGUGCCAGCAGCCGCGGUAAUUC
This 406-nucleotide ribosomal RNA is filed under the name uncultured bacterium. Its description in RNAcentral is "partial 16S ribosomal RNA". It matches the Rfam family "Bacterial small subunit ribosomal RNA", at positions 29 to 526 of the family's 1533-position model. The record is from RNAcentral.